This 434-nucleotide ribosomal RNA is filed under the name Theileria equi. Its description in RNAcentral is "SSU rRNA". It matches the Rfam family "Eukaryotic small subunit ribosomal RNA", at positions 453 to 923 of the family's 1831-position model. Lineage: Eukaryota; Apicomplexa; Aconoidasida; Piroplasmida; Theileriidae. The record is from RNAcentral.
GACACAGGGAGGUAGUGACAAGAAAUAACAAUUUGGGGCUUGAAGUCUUGUAAUUGGAAUGAUGGGAAUUUAAACCCCUUCCAGAGUAUCAAUUGGAGGGCAAGUCUGGUGCCAGCAGCCGCGGUAAUUCCAGCUCCAAUAGCGUAUAUUAAACUUGUUGCAGUUAAAAAGCUCGUAGUUGAAUUUCUGCUGCAUCGUGGUUCUUCGCUAUGUCGAGUGAUCUUCGUUGUGGCUUAGUUGGGGCAUGUUUUCAUGACUCGACGUUUACUUUGAGAAAAUUAGAGUGCUUCAAGCAGGCUUUUGCCUUGAAUACUUUAGCAUGGAAUAAUGGAGUAGGACUUUGGUUCUAUUUUGUUGGUUUUAGGAGCCGGAGUAAUGGUUAAUAGGAACAGUUGGGGGCAUUCGUAUUUGACUGUCAGAGGUGAAAUUCUUAG